AACUAUCAAGUCUCAUGAGCUUAAUGAAAAUAGAUAAGUUGAGCCACUAAAUGAUAAUGCGGGUGGUUUGGCGUUGGGAAAUUGUAACAUUAAUGAAAUGAUGAGUGCUGAAAAAAGAAAAAAAAGGGUGUUAAGUCAAUUUUUGAAAUUGAAAAAUAAUGCUAGGAGAAACUUGAGGAAAAUUAAAAGAGUGGUAUUAAAGGGAGAAAGUGGAGACAAACAAGGAGUUUUAAGCCAACACUCAUUAGGGGGUAAAGAUAACGGAUAGGCUCCAAAUGGCUCACUAUCAGUGAUGGCUUUUAAAAUAGAAAAUUGGUGGAUUUAGAGAAUUG
This 332-nucleotide long non-coding RNA is filed under the name Gossypium raimondii (Peruvian cotton). RNAcentral's name for it is "long non-coding RNA (GRAI_LNC009210)". The record is from RNAcentral. Lineage: Eukaryota; Viridiplantae; Streptophyta; Magnoliopsida; Malvales; Malvaceae.